GACGAACGCUGGCGGCGUGCUUAACACAUGCAAGUCGAACGGAAAGGCCCUGCUUUUGUGGGGUGCUCGAGGGGCGAACGGGUGAGUAACACGUGAGUAACCUGCCCUUGACUGUGGGAUAACUUCAGGAAACGGGGGCUAAUACCGGAGAGGAGCUCCUGCGGCAGGGUGGGGGUUGGAAAGGUUCGGCGGUGGGGGAUGGACUCGCGGCUUAUCAGCUUGUUGGUGGGGUAGUGGCUUACCAAGGCUUUGACGGGUAGCCGGCCUGAGAGGGUGACCGGCCACAUUGGGACUGAGAUACGGCCCAGACUCCUACGGGAGGCAGCAGUGGGGAAUAUUGCACAAUGGGCGGAAGCCUGAUGCAGCAACGCCGCGUGCGGGAUGACGGCCUUCGGGUUGUAAACCGCUUUCGCCUGUGACGAAGCGUGAGUGACGGUAAUGGGUAAAGAAGCACCGGCUAACUACGUG
RNAcentral lists this ribosomal RNA (468 nucleotides) under uncultured bacterium. RNAcentral's name for it is "partial 16S ribosomal RNA". It matches the Rfam family "Bacterial small subunit ribosomal RNA", at positions 28 to 507 of the family's 1533-position model. The record is from RNAcentral.